GAACAACUGCCCACUAAGUAAAGCAAAAACCAUGUGAGCAGGUAAAGCCAACGAGGAAUUCAUUCACUAUUUCCCAUCAGAGGCAGCUGUUCAGUCCCUCCCAAAAGACUAGGGCUCAGCAUGCAUAGUGAUUUCCUGGGAAGACAAAUGCCAUCAGCUGCGAUAUUCCACCUUCCUUCUUCUUUCCCUUAGCUGUUACUGCUGAUCAUGAAGCCCUACGGUAUGAGAUAUCCCUUUGGUCAGUCUGGAUCAGCUGUCCACAUCCCCUCCCAGCUCUCUGUGCAUCCGUAUUUUUUUAAAAAACCUUGAUUUGGAAAAAGUAUCAGUGUAUUGUAAUAUUGAAGAGCAGUACAGCUUACCAUGAGCGCUUUGGAAAGCUUUACAGACAGGCACUGAACCUUUCAGCAGGAAGAUAUUGGGAAUGGUUUUGAUUAUACUGCCCCGUACUGCAAAACAUACAAGGAGGGGGGAGUUCAUUUAAGAUGGAAUGAAGAUUGAACUACCAUGUAUCUUUUAACAUGCUACAAAUUAAGAACUGAACUUAUUUACUUCAGUGUGCAAGGGACACUGCGUGUCUUUGCAAACACAUAGAAACUUGAUGUGCCUGCAAGCAAAUGUUUGGAAGGUAAGAAUAAUGAUACCAAUUCACUCCUAUAGACUGUAGACAUAAUUGAAUCCUCUGAGAAAUUAAGUAUACAAACACUGACGUAUAAAAAGCUAGAUAGAUUUGCUUGAAUCAGGACAGCAACACAUAAAAAACAGCAGUAUCUAUCUACUUAAAGGGAGAGUGUUAGAAAGAGAGAAUCCAAUCAACAUAAAAGACAUGAGAUAAUACAAGAGUGACCUUUUCAAGUUAAGUUCCUGUAUUUUUCCUAAAUUAUUCUUUUUAUCAAAUGUUUCUAAUAAGUCCAUUCACCCAGACUAGAUGGGCUACUCUAGCAGUAAGAUGUUAUCCCCUGUGCUGUGACAAAGUCAGAAUGUAGACCUGAUGAAAUUGGCAGUAUCUCAUUUAGCUCAUGUUUGGAGAAAGAGAAGGUUAAAUACCAGUGUGUAGAGGCUUCCAUGGUGCAGUCUCAAUUUGGUCCCUCUUUUAUGACUCUUUUUCAUAUAUGCAACUUUGUGCUUUUUGUCAAAGAAUAUUUUGGUAACAGUAAUUAUCCAUUAGAAGAUUUAUCUCUGCUUCACAUUCAAGAGCUUUCAUGGCAUCCGUAGUUGAAUAAUUUUGAUACUGAUGGCUACUUGGUGGUUUUGGACUGAGUAAUUAUACAUCCACAGGGAGAGAAAGGCAUGCUGCCAAAGCAUUUCAAGUGCUAUCUCAGCAAUGCAAAAGACUUGGCAUUUCCCUCUGUCAUUUUUCAUUCUCAAAGUGCUAUAAACAUAUGCUGAAGAAAAUAUUUCAAGUACCUGGGAAGAGUAGCCCAGUACACUAUCAGCUCAACUCUUCUGGACAUUCUUAUUUAUUUUGCUAAAUGAAGGCAUCUUUAGAAACUAGUUAUCACAGAAGGAAUUAUUAUCCUUUUCGUUACUGUUGCACAGAUGUACUGUAUUUCUCCAUCGUCUCUUUUUUAGUAAUCAGAAUAAGACAGGUAAUCCUCCUGCUCUUUCCCCACUAGGUCACAUAGCAGAUACUGUAUGAACUGCUAUAUUUUCUGAGAACAAAUUUUGAAAUCUGGUCUUCAGUUUUCGGUUUUCUUAAUCUGUCCUCAUGUUUAAUCCAGGGAACAGGAUGAGGAAAGAGAUGAGUAUACUGUUGCAGUUUAGUACCAGUGUUCCCAUCGACUCGGUAAGUUACUGAAUUCCUGGAAUAGCCAUGCUUUACAUAUAUCCUCCACCAUCUGGAGUGUGGGUGGAAGGCAUGCUUGAACUAAAGGUGUUAAAAUUACACUAUUAAUGGUUUUGGAUGAUGUUGUCCUUAGGAGAACAAAAAGAACUUCAGCCAGUUAAUUAUUUUAUCUGCAGAAAGUAACAAAGGGACUUAAUUCAGCAGGAGUGCGGGUGUUCAUGUGUGUGUGCAUCUAUGUAGUCACAGAAAAAGAAUGCUUCAUUACAAUGAUAACAGGUUGAUUUGAAUUAUUUGUUUGGUAUCUUUAUUUUUCCAUGUUUGCCGAGACAGACAAUUUCUCAGCUUCCUGUCGUGCUUCCUUCACUGAUCCAGACACUGGAGCAGUCUGUAAAAGGAUUCUGCGGUUUACAGUCUUUUCAUUUCGUAAUUAUUUUACUUAGAAAUCAUUUUUAAGAUAAAAAUAAAUUAUUUUUUUACAGAUGUUUUCUGAAUCUGAAUUCUACAACAUGGUGUGGAUUCAGCAAGAAAUGUCCUGAGAAAUGGUGGAUCAGAAGAUAAAAAAUGGCAGUGACAUCCACCUUUGUGCCAGGCACAGUGCCGGUACUCCAGAGCCACACAACCACUGUCUCCCACCUCACAUUCAUGCUUAUAAUUCCAGACAUGCUUAAUGACGUAUAGCAAUGGUUCUUCCCCCAUACAAUGCUAAAAACAACUUCCACUUGUAUUUUCAAUUAUGUUAUUUUUCACUUAGACAUGUCUGAAACUUCAGCAACAACAAAUCUUUAACUUAUUCCCUUCUUUUUACUUCGGGUUGAUUUUGUUACUGGUUUUUGUUUGUUUGUUUGUUUUUCUUUUUCUGUCUUCACAACAUACUGCAGGUUUGAGUCUCUCAGAGCCAGAAAGAAAUCGGUAUCAAGACGUGCUAAGAAUGUAUUGUAGUUACUAAGGAAGUGGUUUCCCAAGCAACAGUAACCACAUGAAAUUCGACAGAAUUUCUUCCUUUGCUACUAUAUCAUGUUUGAAGAUUUCAAAGAGCCAGGAUGUGGGUAGCAUAAGUGAUUUUGUCCUUGUUAAACAGAAGCAGAUACAGUAAUAUCCUUGUCCUUACUAAAGAAAGGGUUAAAUUCAUUAAGUUACAAUUUUCCUGGUAGCAGAAAAAAAUGUGGAUGUGCCAAAUAGUCCUGCAGCAUGUGGGCAGAUGCUAGAGGCAACAUUCUCAGUUGUUACAUACUCAGUGGUGAUAUUUACCAUUCAAGAAAGCCAUGCCAACACUUUGGUUUGCUCCAGACACUGGAAGAGACAUUUACCAGCUUGAUGAUGUCAAAAAGUGUAGGAAACUUGCACUUGCUUGAUAUUAGUAGAAGGAUCAGAACCAAAGGUAAUGAAGUUGCAUUGUCCUAACUUCUCUGCAGUGGUGUAAACAAAAUGGAGUCAGCUGGGCAUCAAUCAAAGAAUGCAGUGUCAUUGCUAUUCUGUUUUGAUCAAGAAAUGAAAAUAACACAGUAGAUGUUGCCCUCUGAAAGUGAAUUUAAUGCUUGUUCUUAGAAGGGAAUUGGAAACAACAGGUUCUAUGGGUUAACAAGCAGUGCAAUUUAAUAUGUUUUCUCGAUAGAAAAUGUGAAUAAUUUCUACCUGCUUCUGUGUGCUGAGGUUCAUUGAGUGGUAAGGCACCACAGAGGCACUGUUAAUAAAGAGCUCAAUCCAGCAAGACAAAGAAAGAGAUGACUCAUUUUUCAUUUGAGUUUCAGGUACUAAGAAAAUCAAAAUUUCUUUCAAAAAUUUGUCUUUAAGAAGUGAUUCUUUAUAUCCACUUCAUGUUUAUGGUGAAAUUUAAAAAAGAAAAUGUGGUGGUGUGCAUGUGAGGCAAAUCCCAAGGGAAGGUAUGUAUUGAAGGAGGUGUGUUUCCAUAUGUUAUUAAGGUUCGUGCUUUGUAGGUACACUUACAUCUUUUCUGAAAACUUAGAUUUCUGCUUUGACCAGAGUAAGAAUUUUUUUACAAUUGUACAAACUCCUACUUAUCUUCUGGAUUGCAGGUCACCAUGCAUAAUGAAACAUUUGAGCUACGGAACCUUUUAAAGUAUACGAAGAAACAAUUAUGUGUAUUAUGAAACUGUUCAGCAGUAUGGAUUGGGGCCAGCUCUGUGCAUUCCCAGAUGUAAUGGACAUAAUUGCAGGUCUCCAAGCACAGACACUGAAGUGAAUGACUGAGGGGAUUUGGGGGCUUCACUGGCUCUGGAUCUGUAUCAGCAGUGCCAGAAACAAACUGGCUCAUUAAAAGCUUUAAUCUUAUUUCACUUAUUACCCUUUCACUUAUUUCUACCUUUGUGAACUGCUUCAUGCAAAGAACUGCCUUUUUAAACCAUCUCUCAAACCCUCUUCAAGUUGCAGAACUAAUAUUCUUAGCUAACAAGCUCUUAGUUAAGUAAGUGGUUAGAAAACUUCUAAGUCCUUCAGAAGGCUUCCUUCCAACACAUCCUCCGUAGACAUACUAAUGUGUUUGUAUUUCUGUGAUGCAUUAAGACAUCUAAAAGAAUACUGCUUGUAGGCAGGUAAAUGCUAUAAUUAGAAAAAAACAAGUUGAGUCUCCAAAUAAAGUCAUCUGUUUCUUUUAAAAAUACAGUAGAUGCACUAUAAUGUAGGAACUUAAUUUAUUUAAAUAAAGUUUGUUUGUAUUCAUGCACAGAACCCAACUAAAUCAAAUGUCUGCAGCUUUUGUGCAUGCUUGCAUUUUAAGCAGUUGCAUCUAAUCAGAAUAGUUAUCAUUUUAAUAGAGCUGGCGCACAUUAAAAAGAGCAUGGAUGGGGGGAUGUUACCCUCCCCCUCUACUCUGCCCUGGUGAGGCCACAUGUAGAGUACUACGUCCAGUUCUAGACUCCUCAGUUCAAGAAAGACAGAGAGAGUCCAACAAAGGGUCAUAAAGAUGAUGGGGAACCUGGAGCAUCUCCUUUCUGAGGAAAGGCUGAGAGACCUGUGACUGUUCAGCCCAGAGAAGACUGAGAAGGAAUCUUACCAAUGCCUAUGGAUAUCUGAAGUGUGGAAGUAAGGUGGAUGGGGCCAGGCUCUUUUCAGUGGUGCCCAGUGACAGGAUAAGGGGCAAAGGACACAAACUGGAACACUAGAAGUUCCAUAUGAACAUGAGGAAAAACCUCUUUGAAAGUGACAGAGCACUGUAACAGGCUGCCUGGAGAGAUUGUGGAGUCUCCUUCUCUGGAGAUAUGCAUAUCUGCCUGGACGCCUUCCUGUAUGACCUACUGUAGGGAACUUGUUUUAUCAAGGGUUGGACUAGAAGAUGUCCAGAUGAUCUCCAGCCACAGUGAAUCUGUGAUUCUGUGUAUUACUUUAUUUAUUCAGUUUUUUUUCUUUUUCAGAGAAAGCUGCCUCUGCCCUCGAAGGCCUCUCAUUUUACCAGGAUGUAUGCAGUGGACACAGACCUGAUAAGAAAUUAUGAGGUUGCAGUUUCUACUGGAAUAAGAGUUCAAUGCAGUCACUUACCCAGACUUCACUUCAUCAUGUCUGAGCACUUACAGCUAUAACUUGUGAUCUUUCUGGUUUAUUUGGAGGCACAGCAAGCCAGCUCCUGUACACAGAGGCAUCCUUAUAUGCUUUCUAAUGUGAUGCUGCUGUGUGGGAUAUUGAGAUCACAGUGAAGGUCGCAGUGCAAAUAUUUACAUACAGGCAAGUCUUAGUGUAUGACUCUCUGGAGACCCCUACAUAAAGGCUGUGAAUCUGAUUAGAUUCCAAAAUGGAAGAGCAAGACAUCUUGUUUUUGUCCAUACUCUUGAAAAUAGAUUAGAGUAAGGAAAUAUGCUGCUUGACUGGAAUGAAGAAAAUUGCUUACGAAACUGCUCACCUACCCAAAAAUCAUUUUAAAAAAGUUAUCCUAACCCUCAAGAACAUUAAGAACAGUAAGGCUAUGAAGAGAUGGAGAAGAACAACUGAAGUUCCAUAAGAAGCCAUUCUUUCUUCUGCUUCACAGUUCAAUUUGGUAUUGUUGAAUCACUACAUCAAGAAACCUAGCUGCAUCUUGAAGAACAUAUUGUUACUUGCACUGCUUUAUGUCAAAUUAAACAUGUAGACAAUUUCAAAUGGAAAGAAUGUUGGACAGUAUAGUAACAACUCAGAGUCAGGACUAAAAGCAAAAUUAGUUGCUCUCGCACAAGCUUUUGGCUUGUUAUGGAAGAAGAUGAUUACUGUAAUUAGUGACACUGAAGAUGUACAAUUCUCUUCAUGAAAUAGUUGUGGAUGAAGUCCAAAAAAUUAUUAUGCUGGCUGUUUGGCCAGAAAAUAUCAAAAGGGGACACCUGUGUUCCAGAUAGAAACAGCUGUAAAUAUGUUGUUACAUAAGCACUCGCUCUGCUCCCAC
This 6146-nucleotide long non-coding RNA is filed under the name Gallus gallus (chicken). RNAcentral describes it as "lncRNA (ENSGALG00010012855.1)". The record is from RNAcentral. Lineage: Eukaryota; Metazoa; Chordata; Aves; Galliformes; Phasianidae.